Molecule: ribosomal RNA, 380 nt
Filed under: uncultured eukaryote
Lineage: Eukaryota
Description: partial 18S ribosomal RNA
Rfam family: Eukaryotic small subunit ribosomal RNA
Source: RNAcentral
CAAUAGCGUAUAUUAAAGUUGUUGCAGUUAAAAAGCUCGUAGUUGGAUUUGUGGCGUAUGGUGGGUUCCGGGCACUUGUUGUCUGAGUAACUUGCUGUUGCCAUCCUUGGGUGGAACCUGUGUGGCAUUAGGUUGUCGUGCAGGGGAUGCCCAUCAUUUACUGUGAAAAAAUUAGAGUGUUCAAAGCAGGCUUAUGCCGUUGAAUAUAUUAGCAUGGAAUAAUGAGAUAGGACUUUUUUGCUAUUUUGUUGGUUUGCGCAAAGAGGUAAUGAUUAAUAGGGACAGUUGGGGGUAUUCGUAUUCCAUUGUCAGAGGUGAAAUUCUUGGAUUUUUGGAAGACGAACUACUGCGAAAGCAUUUACCAAGGAUGUUUUCAUUAA